This 589-nucleotide unclassified non-coding RNA is filed under the name Homo sapiens (human). Its description in RNAcentral is "cytochrome P450 family 21 subfamily A member 2 (ENSG00000198457.13, ENSG00000235134.7)". The record is from RNAcentral. Lineage: Eukaryota; Metazoa; Chordata; Mammalia; Primates; Hominidae.
CUGAAGGUGGGGUCAAGGGAGGCCCCAAAACAGUCUACACAGCAGGAGGGAUGGCUGGGGCUCUUGAGCUAUAAGUGGCACCUCAGGGCCCUGACGGGCGUCUCGCCAUGCUGCUCCUGGGCCUGCUGCUGCUGCCCCUGCUGGCUGGCGCCCGCCUGCUGUGGAACUGGUGGAAGCUCCGGAGCCUCCACCUCCCGCCUCUUGCCCCGGGCUUCUUGCACUUGCUGCAGCCCGACCUCCCAAUCUAUCUGCUUGGCCUGACUCAGAAAUUCGGGCCCAUCUACAGGCUCCACCUUGGGCUGCAAGAUGUGGUGGUGCUGAACUCCAAGAGGACCAUUGAGGAAGCCAUGGUGUCUAAGAACUACCCGGACCUGUCCUUGGGAGACUACUCCCUGCUCUGGAAAGCCCACAAGAAGCUCACCCGCUCAGCCCUGCUGCUGGGCAUCCGUGACUCCAUGGAGCCAGUGGUGGAGCAGCUGACCCAGGAGUUCUGUGAGCGCAUGAGAGCCCAGCCCGGCACCCCUGUGGCCAUUGAGGAGGAAUUCUCUCUCCUCACCUGCAGCAUCAUCUGUUACCUCACCUUCGGAGA